RNAcentral lists this unclassified non-coding RNA (147 nucleotides) under soil metagenome. Its description in RNAcentral is "partial internal transcribed spacer 1". The record is from RNAcentral.
CCUAGAGUUGUAGGCUUUGCCUUGCUAUCUCUUACCCAUGUCUUUUGAGUACCUUCGUUUCGCUCGGCGGGUCCGACCCGCCGAAUUGGGACAAUUUAAAAAUCAUUGGCAGUUGCAAUCAGCGUCUGAAAAAACUCUAAUAGUUAC